Molecule: long non-coding RNA, 1274 nt
Filed under: Selaginella moellendorffii
Lineage: Eukaryota; Viridiplantae; Streptophyta; Lycopodiopsida; Selaginellales; Selaginellaceae
Description: long non-coding RNA (SMOE_LNC002285)
Source: RNAcentral
AGGCGAUUUGUAGUAAUAAGGUGGUGGGGGUGGUGACUCGUAUUUGUAGGGAGGUGGUGGAGGGGAUUCAUACUUGUAUGGAGGCGGUGGAGGUGACUCAUACUUGUACGGAGGUGGAGGUGGGGAUUCAUACUUGUAAGGUGGUGGUGGUGGUGACUCGUAUUUGUACGGAGGUGGAGGUGGGGAUUCAUACUUGUAAGGUGGUGGUGGUGGUGACUCGUAUUUGUAGGGAGGUGGUGGUGGCGACUCAUACUUGUAUGGAGGCGGUGGAGGAGAUUUGUAAUAGUAAGGUGGUGGUGGUGGUGACUCGUAUUUAUAUGGAGGUGGUGGCGGGGAUUCAUAUUUGUAGGGAGGUGGUGGAGGGGACUUGUAGUAGUAAGGUGGAGGAGGAGGCGAUUCAUACUUGUAGGGAGGUGGAGGUGGGGAUUCAUAUUUGUAUGGUGGGGGUGGCGGAGACUUGUAGUAAUAAGGUGGAGGGGGCGACUUGUAUUUGUAAACUGGGGGUGGCGGAGACUCGUAUUUGUAGACUGGUGGUGGCGGCGACUCAUACUUGUAUGGAGGCGGUGGAGGAGAUUUGUAAUAGUAAGGUGGUGGGGGUGGUGACUCGUAUUUGUAGGGAGGUGGUGGCGGGGAUUCAUACUUGUAGGGAGGUGGCGGCGGGGAUUUGUAGUAAUAAGGAGGUGGUGGUGGAGAUUCAUACUUGUACGGAGGAGGAGGUGGAGACUCGUACUUGUAUGGAGGUGGCGGCGGGGAUUUGUAGUAAUAAGGUGGUGGCGGGGGUGACUUGUAUUUGUAAACUGGCGGUGGUGGAGAUUCGUACUUGUAUGGAGGUGGCGGGGGGGAUUUGUAGUAAUAAGGUGGUGGUGGUGGAGAUUCAUACUUGUACGGAGGAGGAGGUGGAGACUCGUACUUGUAUGGAGGUGGCGGUGGGGAUUUGUAGUAAUAAGGUGGUGGCGGAGGUGACUUGUAUUUGUAAACUGGUGGUGGUGGAGAUUCAUACUUGUACGGAGGAGGUGGUGGCGACUCGUACUUGUAUGGUGGUGGUGGAGGGGACUUGUAGUAAUAAGGUGGAGGUGGCGGGGAUUCAUACUUGUAUGGAGGUGGUGGUGGUGACUCGUACUUGUAUGGUGGUGGUGGCGACUUGUAUUUGUAAACUGGGGGUGGCGGAGUCUCAUAUUUGUAGACUGGAGGUGGCGGGGAUUCAUAUUUGUAUGGAGGUGGUGGUGGGGACUUGUAAUAGUAAGGUGGUGGAGGCGGGGACUCGUAUUUGUAAG